This 245-nucleotide long non-coding RNA is filed under the name Brassica napus (rape). Its description in RNAcentral is "long non-coding RNA (BNAP_LNC004845)". The record is from RNAcentral. Lineage: Eukaryota; Viridiplantae; Streptophyta; Magnoliopsida; Brassicales; Brassicaceae.
GGGGACCGCUUAAUUAACUGUUAGACCAGACUCCAUGAGUCCGUUUUGGCCAAUGGAUGUCCACUUAUAUGAUUCUCUGUUCUCAGAACUAUAUAUGGAUACCCACUUAACCUUAUUAAUACACCGUGUAGGUGUAAUUGUAAUAAUAUACUAUUAUAUUGGCCAAUAGAUCUUGGGGAAUUGUCUCUAGACACACUGUGAAUGGGUCGAUGAAUUCUUAAAUGAUACACGACAAAGACAUCCCA